This 173-nucleotide unclassified non-coding RNA is filed under the name uncultured Phomopsis. Its description in RNAcentral is "sequence contains ITS1". Lineage: Eukaryota; Fungi; Ascomycota; Sordariomycetes; Diaporthales; Cytosporaceae. The record is from RNAcentral.
CUGGAACGCGCUUCGGCGCACCCAGAAACCCUUUGUGAACUUAUACCUAUUGUUGCCUCGGCGCAGGCCGGCCUCUUCACUGAGGCCCCCUGGAAACAGGGAGCAGCCCGCCGGCGGCCAACCAAACUCUUGUUUCUACAGUGAAUCUCUGAGUAAAAAACAUAAAUGAAUCA